This 484-nucleotide ribosomal RNA is filed under the name uncultured bacterium. RNAcentral describes it as "partial 16S ribosomal RNA". It matches the Rfam family "Bacterial small subunit ribosomal RNA", at positions 29 to 507 of the family's 1533-position model. The record is from RNAcentral.
AUUGAACGCUGGCGGCAUGCUUUACACAUGCAAGUCGAACGGCAGCGCGGGCUUCGGCCUUGCGGCGAGUGGCGAACGGGUGAGUAAUGCAUCGGAACGUGCCCAGUAGUGGGGGAUAGCCCGGCGAAAGCGGGAUUAAUACCGCAUACGACCUGAGGGUGAAAGCGGGGGACCGUGAGGCCUCGCGCUAUUGGAUCAGCCGAUGUCGGAUUAGCUAGUUGGUGGGGUAAAGGCCUACCAAGGCGACGAUCCGUAGCUGGUCUGAGAGGACGACCAGGCAGCCGGGGACUGAGACAGGGCCCAGACUCCUACGGGAGGCAGCAGUGGGGAAUUUUGGACGAUGGGGGAAAGCCUGAUACAGCCAUGCCGCGUGCGGGAAGAAGGACUUCGGGUUGUAAACCGAUUUUGUUUGGGAAGAAAUCCUGUGGGCUAAUACCGCGGGGGGAUGACGGUACCGGAAGAAUAAGCACCGGCUAACUACGUG